AAAUUGAAGAGUUUGAUCAUGGCUCAGAUUGAACGCUGGCGGCAGGCCUAACACAUGCAAGUCGAACGGUAACAGGAAGCAGCUUGCUGCUUCGCUGACGAGUGGCGGACGGGUGAGUAAUGUCUGGGAAACUGCCUGAUGGAGGGGGAUAACUACUGGAAAC
This 163-nucleotide ribosomal RNA is filed under the name Escherichia coli. RNAcentral's name for it is "partial 16S ribosomal RNA". It matches the Rfam family "Bacterial small subunit ribosomal RNA", at positions 1 to 157 of the family's 1533-position model. RNAcentral also lists the same sequence under 6 other names. The record is from RNAcentral. Lineage: Bacteria; Pseudomonadati; Pseudomonadota; Gammaproteobacteria; Enterobacterales; Enterobacteriaceae.